CAGCACAGGGCACUUCCAGACGCACUGCAGAGGUGUGAGGAGGUUAUGUCCAAAAUGUUAAAUUCCAACAUUUUGUGAGGUUACCGGUGCAGCUGGGCUUGUGUCUAAACAUUGCAAGGUUUCAAAAAUCACGAGAUUGUACUGCCACUGACAGCGGUGUUUGUUUGCUUUGUCGUUUCAAAAAGUAGCUUGAUGAGUGUCCAAAGUAACAUUGGAAGUUUGGAGGGGACGCCAUCUUGGUCCUAGCUCUCCACGUCCCCGACAACACCGGGGUUGCUUUCUCAGCAACAUAUCACGGCAGUGGUGAAGGCCAAGGCAGGCACCAUGGAGGAGCUGCACAGCCUGGACCCCCGGAGACAAGAGCUGCUGGAGGCUCGAUUCAUGGGUGGGGUCAGUGGCAGCACUGGGGGCAGCACUGGCAGCACCAGCGGGGGAACCAAAGCCUUGACAAACAAUGAAUGUUCAAAUCAAAGUUUUGGAAGCCUGGGGUCCUCCAGUGACAAGGAGUCAGAGAGCUCAGAUGUGAAAAGGGGGAGCUCUCCUGCAUACUCGACUCCUGAAAAGAAACACUCUGAAUCGUCCAGAGGAAGAAAGAGGAAACCCGACACCCAGUCGGAGAACAGCCAAGGGAAGUCUAUUGUGCGAGGACCCAAAAUUAGUGAUUAUUUUGAUUUCCAUGGAGGGAACGGGUCCAGUCCUGUGAGAGGUCUCCCCUCUGUGAUCCGCUCACCUCAGAACUCACAUUCCCACUCUGUGCAGGGUUCCAGUAUUAGGCAAAACAGCUCAUCGCCUACGAGUCUGUCUUUUGGGGAACAUGUGAUGCAUCCAAAGCAGUUGGCAAUCAAAUGUGUGCAGACUGACCUGACGGGGCUCAAGUUGGCUGCCCUGGAGAUGAACAAGAACCUGGACCUUGAGAAAAAAGAAGGCAGAAUUGAUGAUUUGCUUAGAGCGAACUGCGAUCUCAGGAGACAGAUAGACGAACAACAGAAAUUACUUGAAAAGUACAAAGAACGCUUAAAUAAAUGCAUCACCAUGAGCAAGAAGUUGCUCAUAGAAAAGAGCACCCAGGAGAAGCAGGCGUGCCGGGAAAAGAGUAUGCAGGACAGACUACGGUUAGGCCAUUUUACCACUGUGCGACAUGGAGCCUCUUUCACAGAGCAGUGGACCGAUGGCUUUGCCUUCCAAAACCUAGUCAAACAGCAAGAGUGGAUAAACCAACAGAGGGAGGAUAUCGAGAAGCAGAGGAAACUCCUAGCCAAAAGGAAACCCCCAUCGUCCAGCAACUCCCAAGCACCAACCACAAACUCUGAGCCAAAGCAACGCAAAACCAAGGCAGUGAACGGGGCGGAGAAUGAUCCCUUUCUGAAGCCCAGCCUACCUCAGCUGUUGACUCUAGCUGAGUAUCACGAGCAGGAAGAGAUCUACAAACUACGACUCGGGCAUCUCAAAAAGGAAGAAGCAGAAAUCCAGGUGGAGCUGGAGCGUCUGGAGAGAGUGCGGAACCUUCACAUUCGGGAACUUAAGAGAAUAAAUAACGAGGACAGUUCACAAUUCAAAGACCAUCCGACUUUGAACGAGAGAUAUCUGCUGUUACAUCUUCUGGGAAGAGGAGGCUUUAGUGAAGUUUACAAGGCGUUUGACUUGAUUGAGCAACGCUAUGCUGCUGUGAAAAUUCAUCAGCUGAACAAGAACUGGCGAGAGGAGAAAAAGGAGAAUUAUCACAAACACGCCUGUCGGGAGUACAGAAUACACAAGCAGCUGGACCACCCCAGAAUCGUCAGGCUGUAUGACUACUUCUCACUGGACACAGACACGUUUUGCACAGUUUUGGAAUACUGUGAAGGCAAUGACCUGGACUUCUACUUGAAGCAGCACAAGCUGAUGUCGGAGAAGGAGGCCCGCUCCAUCGUCAUGCAGAUUGUGAAUGCGCUCCGAUACCUGAACGAAAUCAAGCCCCCCAUCAUUCACUAUGACCUCAAGCCGGGUAACAUCCUGCUUGUUGAUGGCACAGCGUGUGGGGAAAUCAAAAUCACAGACUUCGGUUUGUCCAAAAUCAUGGAUGACGACAGCUACGGUGCAGAUGGCAUGGACCUGACAUCACAAGGAGCAGGGACCUACUGGUACUUGCCUCCGGAGUGUUUUGUUGUUGGCAAAGAACCUCCAAAGAUUUCCAACAAGGUGGACGUGUGGUCUGUGGGUGUAAUCUUUUUCCAGUGUUUGUAUGGAAGAAAACCGUUCGGCCACAAUCAGUCUCAGCAGGAUAUCCUGCAGGAGAACACAAUACUUAAUGCAACCGAAGUUCAGUUUCCUGUCAAGCCUGUUGCCAGUAAUGAAGCAAAGGCCUUUAUAAGGCGCUGCCUGGCAUACAGGAAGGAGGACCGUUUUGAUGUUCACCAGCUGGGAAGGGAUUCCUACCUGCUUCCUCACAUGAGGAGGUCCAACUCUUCAGGGAACUUGCAGAUGGGUGCCGGUGGCUCAGGACCUGCCGCCUCCAGCAUCAUUUCGUACUGAGGGCUGGUCCUGGACUGACUGAAUUACUGCCUUCCCCCCAUGUGUGAGGUAGCGGAGCUACAUGCCAACUAGUGGUGUACUGGAGGACAAGAGGGGGUCGGUCCGUUGGCCAUAGACACUGCAAACUGAAUGAUGUGGAGUUUGGCCUUCGCCUGGACUGUGCUUUCAAAUGGGUGUUUUCUAAAGACUAAUGAAAGGAUGUUUAAAGAACAUAAGUGAAUGACCUUGUAAAAGGUUGAAUAGAGCACUGCUACAGACAAAGUAACUUGAAGAAAUGUGACUGGACACUUGAGUUUGUUUUGCUGGUGGAAGCCUUAUAGGACCUUAGGGAUAACUGGCAGCCUGCCGUUUUAGAAUCGCUAACAUCCUCUUGCAAGGGUGCAAAUAAUAAAUGCUUUAGCUGCGAAGAGUUUCCCUUUUCACCAUCAAUUUGGCUGUUUUGUUUUUUGUUUUCAGCAAAAGUUUUAAGUUUUAAUUUGAGUUGUACAAUUAGCUAUGAGAAUGUAAUUUUAGCAUACAAGUGGUAUUGUCAUUUAGGCCCAGGCAGCAUACUAAUGUUGAAUGCACAAAAUAACCAAAUGUAGACAAAUGGCAAUGUACAGAAUAAUAUGCAGGAUGAUUUUAAAUAAUUCCUUCAAGAGUAAAUGUAUAUUUGCUGUACAGAAGAUUCAGAUUUGGAAUUGCAGCUGUACCAUGGUUUAACUAUUUCCCUUGUACAUUUGUCAUUCAUUUUGCUGCUUUUGAUGUUACUUUUUAAAGGGCUGUAUGAUCCACUUUGAGUACAAUUGUACAGUUCUAUAAAAAGAAUAAAUGAUGACUAUGAUAAUAAAUACCAGGAAAUCACA
This is an RNA transcript of Oncorhynchus keta (chum salmon), 3356 nucleotides long. It is a transcript of the gene named serine/threonine-protein kinase tousled-like 1-B, with no coding region annotated. The record is from RefSeq and is a predicted model, not a curated record. The transcript has 22 exons. Lineage: Eukaryota; Metazoa; Chordata; Actinopteri; Salmoniformes; Salmonidae.